RNAcentral lists this ribosomal RNA (1876 nucleotides) under Rhizophora apiculata. RNAcentral describes it as "bacterial SSU rRNA". It matches the Rfam family "Eukaryotic small subunit ribosomal RNA". Lineage: Eukaryota; Viridiplantae; Streptophyta; Magnoliopsida; Malpighiales; Rhizophoraceae. The record is from RNAcentral.
ACUAUUUGCUUGUCUCAAAGAUAAAGCCAUGCAUGUGUAAGUAUGAACUAAUUCAGGACUGUGAAACUGCCGAAUGGCUCAUUAAAAUCAGUUAUAGGUUGUUUUGAUGGUACACUGCUACUAGGAUAACCGUAGUAAUUUCAGAGGCUUAAUACGUGCAACAAACCCCGACUUCUUGGAAGGGAUGCAUUAUUAGAUAAAAGGUCGACGCGGGCCUUACGCACCGUUUGCUCUGGAUGAUUCAUGAUAACUCGAACGGACUCGCUACGGCCAACGUGCCGGGCGACGCAUCAUUCAAAUUUCUGCCCUAUCAACUUCGUGGUGGAAGAGGCUAAACAUGGUGGUGACGGGUGACGGAGAAUUUAGGGUUUCGCAUUCCGGAGACGGGAGCCUGAGAAACGAGCUACCAUCAUCCAAGAGAGGGCCAGCAGGCGCGCAAAUUACCCCAAAUUCUGACACGGGAAGGUAGUGACAAAUAAAUAACAAUACCGGGCUCUUAGAGUCUGGUAAUUGGAGAUGAGUACAAUCUAAAUCCCUUAACGAGGACCAUUGGAGGCAAGUCUGGUGCCAGGCAGCCGCAGCGUAAUUUCCAGCUCCGAUAGCUGUAUAUUUAAGUUGUUGCAGUUUAAAAAAAGCUCGUAGUGGACCUUGGGAUGGGAUCGAUCGGUCCGCCUUUGCGUGUCGCAUCGGUCGCCUCGUCCCUUUCUACCGGCGAUGCGCCUCCUGGCCCUUAGUUGGACCGGGUCGUGCCUCCGGUGCUGCUUACUUUGAAAGAAAUUAGAGUGCUCAAAGCAAAGGCCUACGCUCUGGAUACAUUAGCAUGCAUAACAUUCAUAGCGAUUUCGAUCCUAUUGUGUUGGCCUUCGCCGGAUCGAGUAAUGAUAACAGGGACAGUCAGCGGCAUUCGCUAUUUUCAUAGUCAGAAGGUGAAAUUCUUGCCGAUUUUAUGAAGCACGAACAACUGCCGAAAGCAUUUGCCAAGGAUGUUUUCAUUAAUCAAGAACGAAAGUUGGUGGCGUCGAAGACGAUCAGAUUACCGUCCUAGUCUCAACCAAUAAACGAUGCCGGACCAGGGAUCGGCGGAAGUUGCUUUUUAGCGGACUCCGCCGCGCACCUUAUGAGAAAUCAAAGUCUUUGGGUUCCGGGGGCGGAGUAUGGUCGCAAGCUGCAAACUUUAAAGGAAAUUUGACGGCCAAGGGCACCACCAGGAGUGGAGUCUGCGGCUAAUUGACUCACACGGGAAAGCUUACCAGGUCCAGACAUAGUAAGGAUACAGACUUUGAUAGCUCUUUCUUGCAUUCUAUGGUGGUGGUGCAUGGCGCCGUUCUUAGUUGCGACUGGAGCGAUUGUCUGGUUUAAUUCCCUCCUCUGUUAACGAACGAGACCUCAGCCUGCUAAAACCUAGCUAUGCGGAGGUGAUCCUCUGGCCAGCUUCUUUUUAGACCGACUAUGGCCUUCUUAGGCCAAGAAGUUUAGAGGCAAUAAACAGGUCUGUUGACUGCCUUUAGAUUUCUGGCCGCUACGCGCGCUACACUGAUGUAUCAACAGCUCUAUAGCCUGGCCGACAGGCCCGGGUAAUCUUGCAAAAUUUCAUCGUGAUGGGGAUAGAUCAUUGCAAUUGUUUGGUCUUCAAACGAGAAUUUUCCUAGUAAGCGCGAGCUCAUCAGCCUCGGCGUUGGACUACGUCCCUGCCCUUUGCUUACACACCGCCCGUACGCCCUCCUACCGAUUGAAUGGUCCGGUGAAGCUGUUCGGAUCGCGCCGACGUGGGCGUUUCGCCGGCCGGCGAAUAACGUCGCGAGAAGUCCACUGAAACCUUAUCAUUUAGAAGGAAGGAGAAGUCGCUACAAGGUUUCCGUAGCGUGAAAACCUGGCG